GCCCAGGUGUGCAAACUGCAACAACGCCAGAGAACAGUUUGUCGACAUUUUUAUCAAAACACUUAAAAAUAGAAGAAAGGAGAGCGAUAGAAAAGGAGGACAACAUAUUCCGAAUUAUCGUAACUUUUGAGGUGAGUAAAAAAGAAGCGAACAGAAACACGAAGACGCUUAGUGGAUGAUGCUAACGCUAACAGGCUAACCGCGCUCGUGUUUGAGCCUAAUAUGCUAGCGAACCACUAACUGUUUCAAUACUUAAGUGGGUUAAACACUUUUAUUUGAGGGGGAAAAAAUCUAAACGCUAAAAGUCUUGGGCACUUUACAUUGGAAGCUCCUACUUGCCAAAAUUCUCAGUAAUAAAUAUAAUGAAUAUAAACUAACAUAGUUACGAGAACAGCUGCUGAAAACCUGUAAAUUAAAGAAAUAUUUUAAUUUAGAUGUCUAUAAUCUAAUGUGGAUAUUAAUUUCGGUCAAAGUCCAGAGACUAAACUAUAAGUAGAUUAUGGUAAAAAAAUCUCUUGUUCCCUGUAUUUGUCAUGUUUUGCAUAUUAUAUUGUAAGUGUAAUGUAUUUAAAAACUCUUGUACUAAAUCAUGAAAGAGUCACAUUUGACACUGAAUUUAAAAGUCCCACAUUUUAUUGAUGUAAUAGACACAAGAAUAAUAACAGCAAACACAGCAGGAGGUUUAAUCAGUCACAGAUAUUCAUGGACUUAAAUCAGCUUCUCUGACAGUCAUGCAAACAGUGCAGACAGAUAUUGAGCACAAAUUCAGGAAAACUUUUCAUUUAUUUUUACUGUUUCAGAAGACAUCACAGUAAAAAACAACUUCUUGAUCAGUGAAGUAGCCUGAGAGCGUCUCUCAGCCCUCACCAAAGUCCAGUUUGACAUCCUCAGCACAGAUUUUUGUCUUUUGUUGGGGUAAAUGUGAUGAAAUAAUUGUCUCCCUUCUUUUCUUUCAGGACUCACUGUCGGUGGAUCCUGGAGCUGGGAGGCCUUCUCCUUCUCCCUCCACUCGCCCUUCUCCUGUGUCUCCCUAAUGAUGUUUUAGUUUUGUUCCUAGUUCAAGUGGUAGUUAAGUUUAGAGUCAGAAUUUAUUAUUUCACCUUUUCACAGAGUGUUAGAGACUUAAGUCACGAUUAAAAUGAAGAUUUGAG
Molecule: non-coding RNA, 1151 nt
Organism: Xyrichtys novacula (pearly razorfish)
Lineage: Eukaryota; Metazoa; Chordata; Actinopteri; Labriformes; Labridae
Source: the annotation of a GenBank genome assembly